UGAGGAAUCUUGCGCAAUGGGGGAAACCCUGACGCAGCAACUCCGCGUGAGUGAGGAAGGCCUUCGGGUCGUAAAGCUCUGUCAGAUGGGAAGAAAUGGGUGGGGGCUAAUAUCGUCCACCCUUGACGGUACCAUCAGAGGAAGCACCGGCUAACUCCGUGCCAGCAGCCGCGGUAAUACGGGGGGUGCAAGCGUUGUUCGGAAUCAUUGGGCGUAAAGCGCGCGCAGGCGGCUUGGUCAGUCAGAUGUGAAAGCCCUGGGCUUAACCCAGGAAGUGCAUUUGAUACUGCCUCGCUAGAGUACGGGAGAGGAAAGUGGAAUUCCUGGUGUAGAGGUGAAAUUCGUAGAUAUCAGGAGGAACACCGGUGGCGAAGGCGACUUUCUGGCCCGAUACUGACGCUCAGGCGCGAAAGCGUGGGGAGCAAACA
Molecule: ribosomal RNA, 428 nt
Filed under: uncultured prokaryote
Description: bacterial SSU rRNA
Rfam family: Bacterial small subunit ribosomal RNA
Source: RNAcentral